This is a long non-coding RNA of Austrofundulus limnaeus, 1155 nucleotides long. RefSeq lists it as uncharacterized. NCBI's taxonomy places the organism in Eukaryota, Metazoa, Chordata, Actinopteri, Cyprinodontiformes, Rivulidae. The record is from RefSeq and is a predicted model, not a curated record. The transcript is spliced from 2 exons.
UGAUUUUUGAGACGGAUACAGAGAAGCCUCGUCUCUGAUCUUCGAUUGAAAGCAGGCCAGGAGACGCUGGAAAAGUAACGUAGACUGGGAGGUUCAACUGGGUGUGUAUGGCUCUUUAAGACGAGAGCGAGCAGCGGGCACGCGCACGCUUCUCUGGCAGAGCUUCAGUAAACAUCUAGCUGUGUGGACGCGCUUUCAUGUCUCUCGUUAAUAAAUAUGUCCAAAGCUGAAGAAAUAGUCUCUUCUUCAUUCAAAUGUUAGCCUAGAGUUUUAUUGACUUGCCAGAGGAGGAAGUCCACUGGUUUUCAGCAACCCAGGAGAAGCCACCGAUAGCGGAAGCAGCCCCAAAGGCAGCAGCAGACGGGAGCAGACAAAAAGAGUCCGAGCCACCGACAGCAGACGGAGGGGAAAAGAGAGAAGAGUCCAGCAGCUGACAAAGCUGAGCCGAACCGAGCAGAAACGGAACCAGAGACAGGGAGAGACACAACAAAAUGGCGCCACGAAUUUUAGGUCUGUUUUGCAUUUUAUCUUUGUUAAAUGCAGCUGUGAGCCUGUACGGAGAGCGUGGAUCAUAUGUGUAGAGCUCAGAUGGUCUCUGUGUCUCUUUCGUUUCUAGAAUCAAAUUUCUUUGUCAUGCUAGCGUUUAUAUUUGUGUUUUUGUGUAUCUGUGUUUUUAUUGGGGUUAAAAAGAGCGUUUAUUGUCGAGUUAAGUGCUCCGAGGAGAACAAAGGCUUCAGCUGCAGAGAAGGGGGCAGGGCAGAACAUGCUCUGGGCGCAGCGAAAGCGUGCUUUGCCGUGACGGCAGAUGUCGUAAACCAGCUUAAAGUACGAAAAAACUGUUCCUUUUAUGUUUUAAAUUGUCAAGCUGUGGUGUUUCCUAAUCCGAGACUGGAAAAGGCAUGUAAUUCCGUCAGAUUCAAUUUUUAAUAGAGUUUCAGCAGAGUGUUUUAUGUUGAGGUGAAGUAGAGUUGAGAUAUAGAGAGAGCAAACAAUGCCACAUUUGUGUUGAGAAUAUUAAAUUUAAGGAUUAGAAGUGCAGCUACAGAGUAAAAAGCAGUGCAGAGUGAGAUUACAGACGUCUCUCAGUAUUGAAAUAGAAGUUUAGAGGUGUCUGGCCAGUUUUUGAAGGAAAAAUAUAGAGAAAGGAAAAUAAAG